Dujonia railenensis is the source of this 71-nucleotide non-coding RNA. Lineage: Eukaryota; Fungi; Ascomycota; Pichiomycetes; Serinales; Debaryomycetaceae. The record is from the annotation of a GenBank genome assembly.
GUUAUUAUAGCUUAAGGGUAAAGCCAUGUACUGUUAAUACAUUGAUCUAGGUUCGAUUCCUAGUAAUAACG